This is an RNA transcript of Lathyrus oleraceus (garden pea), 2344 nucleotides long. It is a transcript of the gene named probable protein phosphatase 2C 33, with no coding region annotated. The transcript has 7 exons. The record is from RefSeq and is a predicted model, not a curated record. Lineage: Eukaryota; Viridiplantae; Streptophyta; Magnoliopsida; Fabales; Fabaceae.
CUUGCGUGGCGUUAAAACAAACCAUUCAACAAUAGCCACCACUUGCCGGUGACGCAGCAACUCGUGACGGUAGCGUUUUUCUCAGGGUUUACUUCAACAACUACAAAAACUUGUUCAAUUCAAUUCAGAUUUUCGAUUCUUUGAUUUCGCAAUCCAAACGGUGAAGUUACUCUGGAUCGAUUAUCGCUGAUUCUUUUUUCCGAUUGUUGCAAUUUUUUUUUUGCAUUCACGCGUUUCGCGUUCAGAUUCACGCGCUUUACGAUUGAAGUUACUGUUACAUAGAUUGAUUCGUGUUUCGUUUAAUCGAGUUGGAUUUCUGUUCAUUGCAGUAAUCGUCAUGACUCAGGCUGUGCAAGUGUUGAAUAGGUAUGGAACGGAUUUUGUUGCGGAAGGUAGGGGUUCAGAUUCGGAGUGUUUCGCUGGUUUUGAAUGUUUUCUGAACAUUGUGAGAGCUUUGGGAAUGGGAUCUUGUAUAUCAGAGGUUGGUGCUGGUGGUUCGCCUCCUCUGUUAACUUAUUCGCAGGAAUUGAAUGUUGGCGACGGUGGGAAGAGGAAGAGGAUAAGGGGUUCAUCUACCAUGGAUUAUAAGGUGCCUGGGAGAAUGUUCUUGAAUGGGUCAAGUGAUGUUGCUUCCAUGUAUUGUAAGCAAGGUAGAAAAGGAGUCAACCAAGAUGCUAUGCUUGUUUGGGAGAACUUUUGUUCAAAGGAGGACACUAUUUUUUGUGGUGUUUUUGAUGGCCAUGGACCUUAUGGCCAUAGGGUUGCAAAAAAAGUUAGGGAUUCUUUCCCUUUAAAGCUUGGUGCACAAUGGGAUUUGCAUCGUAAGAAUGAAGCUGGAUUCAGUAAUCAAAAUGGUGCUGCCACAAGUUAUAAUUCUGAAGAGCAAAUUAGACAGGUCGGCAAGAACUUUGAUCUUGAGCUCGAUGGAUCAAAUACUAUCUUGGCAUUAAGAGAAUCCUUUUUGAAGGCUAGCAAGAUUAUGGACAAAGAACUGAAACUGCAUCGUGAUAUUGAUUGCUUUUGCAGUGGGACUACAGCAGUUACCUUGAUCAAGCAGGGGCUGAAUCUUGUUAUUGCAAAUGUGGGGGAUUCAAGAGCUGUAUUGGGAACCCGAGAUCAUGAAGAUUCUCUUAUUGCUGUUCAGUUGACUAUUGACCUUAAGCCUAAUCUUCCAAAGGAAGAAGAGAGGAUUAAGCAACGUAAAGGAAGGGUGUUUUCCCUUAAGAAUGAGCCUGAUGUGUCUCGAGUUUGGCUACCUAAUUCUGAUUUCCCAGGUCUAGCUAUGGCACGGGCUUUUGGAGAUUUUUGCCUAAAGGAUGUUGGAUUGAUUUCUGUUCCAGAUGUCUCAUAUCACCGCCUUACAGAGAAGGAUGAAUUUGUUGUGUUGGCAACAGAUGGGAUUUGGGAUGUUUUAUCAAAUGAAGAAGUUGUGGAGAUUGUGGCAUCUGCACCGCAGUCUACUGCUGCUCGAUUACUGGUUGAGUCAGCUGUUCAUGCUUGGAGGACAAAAUUUCCUUUCUGUAAGGUUGAUGAUUGUGCUGCAGUGUGCCUCUUCCUCAAUUCUGAUUCUGAGUCGAAGGCAGAAGAUACCCCAGACAAGUUGAUGCCAGAUGCAACAACCGACCCAGUUGAUCAAUCAUCUCUAUGUAGUGAGAACGGAAUUGAAGCGGAAGCUGAAAAACUGCAGUGAUAGUAUAGCUUUUGCGCCAUAUCUCUUCCCACACCCUUUUCAAUUUAGAAGUUUGGGAAAAUUGUGCAAAGAGAAUCAAUAUUCUUUUCAUUAUUUAUGUUUCAUUUUCGUGGACAGCAUUUGAUGGGUGGGGUUGGAGGAGUUUAAUAUAUGUUUUGAAUCCGGAGGAAAAGGGGUACCGGGCUUAUUUUUUGUGCUAGAGGAUGCUUUUUUUCCUUCCAGCUUGGCAGUGUUUCUGUGAGAGUUUGUUUCCAUGGCGGUUCGAUGGAUGAGAUUGGGUGGUGACUGGUGAGGUCAAUACGACCAGGCAACGUUCGGUCUGUGAAACAGAACAUCUUUAUGUGGAUUUGUAAUGAUAGUGAAGAGAAACAUCGAUUUGGUAGUCGAACAUUAGACUUGAUGUGUCAAGUUAAUCCAAUGGCGGGGAAAGGAGAAGUAGAUUCCCCGAAAGGUCAUGCUUUGUGCAACACAACUUGUGUGCAUAAUAACAGCUCUGAAGCAGAUAUAGUGAAAAUACUCCCUCUGUCUUCUUACCUUAAAUUAUAAGGAAAAAAACAGUUUCUUAAAGUAUAUUUUUUAAGUAAAGUUAAAUGUAAAUUUCUUUUAGUUUACCCUCUUUCAUCCUCCCCUAAUCAAUGAAAAUUGUCUUCUACA